Molecule: ribosomal RNA, 376 nt
Filed under: Strombidium sp.
Lineage: Eukaryota; Ciliophora; Spirotrichea; Strombidiidae
Description: partial small subunit ribosomal RNA
Rfam family: Eukaryotic small subunit ribosomal RNA
Source: RNAcentral
AUUCCUGCUCCAAUAGCGUAUAUUAAAGUUGUUGCAGUUAAAAAGCUCGUAGUUGGACUUCUGGCAGGGCGCCGCGUGCCACAGUAGUGCGCACAAGGGCCCGGCCAUCCUUCUGUAAACGUCGGGGAAGUUUAUUCGUCCGCGGCGGGAUCAGUUAAUUUACCUUGAGAAAAUUAGAGUGUUUCAGGCAGGCGUAGCCGGAAUACAUUAGCAUGGAAUAAUGGAAUAGGACUUAGUCUCUUUGUUGGUUCGAGGGACUGGAGUAAUGAUUAAUAGGGAUAGUUGGGGGCAUUAGUAUUUAUUAGCUAGAGGUGGAAUUCUCUAAUUUGAUAAAGACUAACUUAUGCGAAAGCAUUUGCCAAGGAUGUUUUCAUUG